AUGCACGCUGGCGGCGUGCCUAAUACCUGCAAGUCGAGCGAACAGACGAGGAGCUUGCUCCUUCGACGUUAGCGGCGGACGGGUGAGUAACACGUAGGUAACCUACCUAUAAGACUGGGAUAACUUCGGGAAACCGGAGCUAAUACCGGAUAAUAUUUCGAACCGCAUGGUUCGAUAGUGAAAGAUGGCUUUGCUAUCACUUAUAGAUGGACCUGCGCCGUAUUAGCUAGUUGGUAAGGUAACGGCUUACCAAGGCAACGAUACGUAGCCGACCUGAGAGGGUGAUCGGCCACACUGGAACUGAGACACGGUCCAGACUCCUACGGGAGGCAGCAGUAGGGAAUCUUCCGCAAUGGGCGAAAGCCUGACGGAGCAACGCCGCGUGAGUGAUGAAGGUCUUCGGAUCGUAAAACUCUGUUAUUAGGGAAGAACAAACGUGUAAGUAACUGUGCACGUCUUGACGGUACCUAAUCAGAAAGCCACGGCUAACUACGUG
RNAcentral lists this ribosomal RNA (496 nucleotides) under uncultured bacterium. Its description in RNAcentral is "partial 16S ribosomal RNA". It matches the Rfam family "Bacterial small subunit ribosomal RNA", at positions 29 to 507 of the family's 1533-position model. The record is from RNAcentral.